GGAAUGGAAGAGGGAUAGGUCGGUCAAUCAACGGAGAAGGUGCGGCAGCGGUGGUGGUGGAAGAGGGAGAAGGUCCACCUGAAGAAGAACCAUCGGCUGGAGAAGAAGAUCCACCCACCUCACAUGCCCUGCGUGGACCGUCAUGGUCAUCCUCUCUAGGACAAGUGGCAGGCACGGGUGUAGGUGUAGAAACGGGCUCAGGAGGCACAACAGUCUGCUUCCCUGACCUGAGGGUGAUGGCACUCACGUUCCUAGGAUUCUGCACAGUUUGGGAGGGUAGUUUAUCAGAAUUUUGAGACUGUGCCUAGUUCAACUGAGUAGCCAUCUGACCCACUUGGUUAGUGAGACUUUGUAUAGAAGCUCUCGUCUCCUGCUGAAAUUGCAUAUUAUCUUUCUGAAACUGCAGGUUUUGCAUAGUCAUCUGUCUCACUAACUCUUCCAAUGUAGGCUCAGAAGAAGUGGAAGGUUGGGCAGCUGGUUGGACAGGUGCUUCUUGUUGCUGCUGUUGCUG
RNAcentral lists this long non-coding RNA (511 nucleotides) under Vigna radiata. RNAcentral's name for it is "long non-coding RNA (VRAD_LNC012341)". Lineage: Eukaryota; Viridiplantae; Streptophyta; Magnoliopsida; Fabales; Fabaceae. The record is from RNAcentral.